CAUAGGUUAAUGAGGCGAACCGGGGGAACUGAAACAUCUAAGUACCCCGAGGAAAAGAAAUCAACCGAGAUUCCCCCAGUAGCGGCGAGCGAACGGGGAGGAGCCCAGAGCCUGAAUCAGUGUGUGUGUUAGUGGAAGCGUCUGGAAAGGCGUGCGAUACAGGGUGACAGCCCCGUACACAAAAAUGCACAUAUUGUGAGCUCGAUGAGUAGGGCGGGACACGUGGUAUCCUGUCUGAAUAUGGGGGGACCAUCCUCCAAGGCUAAAUACUCCUGACUGACCGAUAGUGAACCAGUACCGUGAGGGAAAGGCGAAAAGAACCCCGGCGAGGGGAGUGAAAAAGAACCUGAAACCGUGUACGUACAAGCAGUGGGAGCCUCUUAAUGGGGUGACUGCGUACCUUUUGUAUAAUGGGUCAGCGACUUAUAUUCUGUAGCAAGGUUAACCGAAUAGGGGAGCCGAAGGGAAACCGAGUCUUAACUGGGCGUUAAGUUGCAGGGUAUAGACCCGAAACCCGGUGAUCUAGCCAUGGGCAGGUUGAAGGUUGGGUAACACUAACUGGAGGACCGAACCGACUAAUGUUGAAAAAUUAGCGGAUGACUUGUGGCUGGGGGUGAAAGGCCAAUCAAACCGGGAGAUAGCUGGUUCUCCCCGAAAGCUAUUUAGGUAGCGCCUCGUGAAUUCAUCUCCGGGGGUAGAGCACUGUUUCGGCAAGGGGGUCAUCCCGACUUACCAACCCGAUGCAAACUGCGAAUACCGGAGAAUGUUAUCACGGGAGACACACGGCGGGUGCUAACGUCCGUCGUGAAGAGGGAAACAACCCAGACCGCCAGCUAAGGUCCCAAAGUCAUGGUUAAGUGGGAAACGAUGUGGGAAGGCCCAGACAGCCAGGAUGUUGGCUUAGAAGCAGCCAUCAUUUAAAGAAAGCGUAAUAGCUCACUGGUCGAGUCGGCCUGCGCGGAAGAUGUAACGGGGCUAAACCAUGCACCGAAGCUGCGGCAGCGACACUAUGUGUUGUUGGGUAGGGGAGCGUUCUGUAAGCCUGUGAAGGUGGCCUGUGAGGGUUGCUGGAGGUAUCAGAAGUGCGAAUGCUGACAUAAGUAACGAUAAAGCGGGUGAAAAGCCCGCUCGCCGGAAGACCAAGGGUUCCUGUCCAACGUUAAUCGGGGCAGGGUGAGUCGACCCCUAAGGCGAGGCCGAAAGGCGUAGUCGAUGGGAAACAGGUUAAUAUUCCUGUACUUGGUGUUACUGCGAAGGGGGGACGGAGAAGGCUAUGUUGGCCGGGCGACGGUUGUCCCGGUUUAAGCGUGUAGGCUGGUUUUCCAGGCAAAUCCGGAAAACCAAGGCUGAGGCGUGAUGACGAGGCACUACGGUGCUGAAGCGACAAAUGCCCUGCUUCCAGGAAAAGCCUCUAAGCAUCAGGUAACAUCAAAUCGUACCCCAAACCGACACAGGUGGUCAGGUAGAGAAUACCAAGGCGCUUGAGAGAACUCG
This 1494-nucleotide ribosomal RNA is filed under the name Escherichia coli. RNAcentral's name for it is "partial 23S ribosomal RNA". It matches the Rfam family "Bacterial large subunit ribosomal RNA", at positions 165 to 1702 of the family's 2925-position model. Lineage: Bacteria; Pseudomonadati; Pseudomonadota; Gammaproteobacteria; Enterobacterales; Enterobacteriaceae. The record is from RNAcentral.